CACGGCUUGAGAAAUGAGCUGGGAGGACAAAACUAGACCAGAAGAGUUAUAAAUGUGCGUAUCCCAUCUGCAAGAGCUGACGACGUUUCUGUCCUUUUGACAGCUUUUCUCGGGUACUGCGGGAAACAGUGAGAGCACUAGCCCCCCAGAGUGACGUGGCGUUCAUGCUGUCAGAAGACGGCAGUGGAAAGGGAGCGGCACUCAUUACUGCUGUGGCCAAGAGGACACAGCAGUCACGGAAGGAGAACUAGGAGUCCCCAAGGUCGGGCCUGACGCACCUCGGAUACUCACCAGCCCUUCCUCUGGCAGAUGAGUGGGUCAGGCACCAAAAGGCCACCUCCCGACGGACUUCACCUUCUUGGUGGCUGAAAGAGGACCCCAGGUUCUCGGGUACUCUUAGCAUCUUGUUACUGGCUUUGCAGUGGCAUUAUAUGACAUCUCCAUUCGGUAUGUUUGGGCCAACAACAGCCCAACUUGUGAAAUUGAAGUCUCUGGCCUGAGAGAUCCCCUUUCUGUAAAUGGAGUCCUGAGCGCCAGUUCUCUGUGGCUCUGGGUCCAGUGGCUGCUGGGCUUGGGAACACAAUCAGUCUGCCCCCAUGGCCCGGGUGACUGAGUUCCUCCCGGAGAUGCUCGAGGAGUACCCUGGGUUGUCCACUUGUCAAUGAACAAUUCAGAGGAUGAGAGACUCAUGCAAUAAACCAGGGGAUUAUAAUCUAACUUGUGGCUCAACUCAUCACGUUGACUUCAAAUGUGAGGCAAGAACAAAGACUUUGGAGUGUUCAGCCCGAGAGGCAGAGGGGCUGGUUGGCCAGUGCCCCACGGGAGUCAUUCCGUGCUUGCAGGAAGCUGUACAAGCACCCUGUGGGAUCUUGUUCCUCAGUGUGGGUCACGGCAUGUGCUUGAGACAUCUUUUUCGUGGUUGCGUUGCUGCGUUGAUGGCUUUUCAAGGUCUGCUAGGUAUAUGAAAUCCAGCCACUGAAUAAAAAAAACAUUUGGUUUCCCAAGAAACUUGGCAUGAGG
RNAcentral lists this long non-coding RNA (1020 nucleotides) under Marmota monax (woodchuck). Lineage: Eukaryota; Metazoa; Chordata; Mammalia; Rodentia; Sciuridae. The record is from RNAcentral.